CUGAUGCAGCGACGCCGCGUGAGGGAUGACGGCCUUCGGGUUGUAAACCUCUUUCACCAGGGAAAAAGCCACAAGUGACGGUACCUGCAUAAGAAGCGCCGGCUAACUACGUGCCAGCAGCCGCGGUAAUACGUAGGGCGCAAGCGUUGUCCGGAAUUAUUGGGCGUAAAGAGCUCGUAGGCGGUUUGUCGCGUCUGCUGUGAAAGCCCGGGGCUCAACCCCGGGUCUGCAGUGGGUACGGGCAGACUACAGUGCAUUAGGGGAUACUGGAAUUCCUGGUGUAGCGGUGAAAUGCGCAGAUAUCACGAGGAACACCGAUGGCUAAGGCAGGUCUCUGGGCUGUCACUGACGCUGAUGAGCUAAAGCAUGGGGAGCGAACAGGAUUAGAUACCCGGGUAGUCCAUGCCUAAAACGUUGGGCACUAGGUGUGGGGGACAUUCCAUGUUCUCCGCGCAGUAGCUACCGCAUUAAGUGC
Molecule: ribosomal RNA, 475 nt
Filed under: Kocuria flava
Lineage: Bacteria; Bacillati; Actinomycetota; Actinomycetes; Micrococcales; Micrococcaceae
Description: bacterial SSU rRNA
Rfam family: Bacterial small subunit ribosomal RNA
Source: RNAcentral